Molecule: ribosomal RNA, 449 nt
Filed under: uncultured bacterium
Lineage: Bacteria
Description: partial 16S ribosomal RNA
Rfam family: Bacterial small subunit ribosomal RNA
Source: RNAcentral
AGCCAGACUCCUACGGGAGGCAGCAGUGGGGGAUAUUGCACAAUGGGGGAAACCCUGAUGCAGCGACGCCGCGUGGGCGAAGAAGUAUUUCGGUAUGUAAAGCCCUAUCAGCAGGGAAGAAGAAAUGACGGUACCUGAGUAAGAAGCACCGGCUAAAUACGUGCCAGCAGCCGCGGUAAUACGUAUGGUGCAAGCGUUAUCCGGAUUUACUGGGUGUAAAGGGAGCGUAGACGGCUGUGCAAGCCAGAUGUGAAAGCCCGGGGCUCAACCCCGGGACUGCAUUUGGAACUGUGUGGCUGGAGUGUCGGAGAGGCAGGCGGAAUUCCUAGUGUAGCGGUGAAAUGCGUAGAUAUUAGGAGGAACACCAGUGGCGAAGGCGGCCUGCUGGACGAUGACUGACGUUGAGGCUCGAAAGCGUGGGGAGCAAACAGGAUUAGAUACCCUGGUAC